Long non-coding RNA from Coregonus clupeaformis (lake whitefish), 232 nucleotides. RefSeq lists it as uncharacterized. The transcript is spliced from 3 exons. Lineage: Eukaryota; Metazoa; Chordata; Actinopteri; Salmoniformes; Salmonidae. The record is from RefSeq and is a predicted model, not a curated record.
AGCAGGGUCUGAGGGACUGCUGUAGGUCCAUCCACAUGGAGCAGGGUCUGAGGUCCAUCCGCAUGGAGCAGGGUCUGAGGUCCAUCCGCAUGGAGCAGGGUCUGAGGGACUGCUGUAGGUCCAUCCGCAUGGAGCAGGGUCUGAGGUCCAUCCGCAUGGAGCAGGGUCUGAGGGACUGCUGUAGGUCCAUCCGCAUGGAGCAGGGUCUGAGGGACUGCUGUAGGUCCAUCCG